RNAcentral lists this ribosomal RNA (491 nucleotides) under uncultured bacterium. Its description in RNAcentral is "partial 16S ribosomal RNA". It matches the Rfam family "Bacterial small subunit ribosomal RNA", at positions 30 to 507 of the family's 1533-position model. The record is from RNAcentral.
AUUUGAACGCUGGCGGCAGGCCUAACACCUGCAAGUCGAACGGUAACAGGAAGAAGCUUGCUUCUUUGCUGACGAGUGGCGGACGGGUGAGUAAAGUCUGGGAAACUGCCUGAUGGAGGGGGAUAACUACUGGAAACGGUAGCUAAUACCGCAUAACGUCGCAAGACCAAAGAGGGGGACCUUCGGGCCUCUUGCCAUCGGAUGUGCCCAGAUGGGAUUAGCUAGUAGGUGGGGUAACGGCUCACCUAGGCGACGAUCCCUAGCUGGUCUGAGAGGAUGACCAGCCACACUGGAACUGAGACACGGUCCAGACUCCUACGGGAGGCAGCAGUGGGGAAUAUUGCACAAUGGGCGCAAGCCUGAUGCAGCCAUGCCGCGUGUAUGAAGAAGGCCUUCGGGUUGUAAAGUACUUUCAGCGGGGAGGAAGGGAGUAAAGUUAAUACCUUUGCUCAUUGACGUUACCCGCAGAAGAAGCACCGGCUAACUCCGUG